AAUGAUCCCUCCGCUGGUUCACCAACGGAGACC
RNAcentral lists this ribosomal RNA (33 nucleotides) under Bionectriaceae sp. IBL 03143. RNAcentral's name for it is "partial 28S ribosomal RNA". Lineage: Eukaryota; Fungi; Ascomycota; Sordariomycetes; Hypocreales; Bionectriaceae. The record is from RNAcentral.